UCGGAACGCGGUCUGCCUUCGGAACGCGGUCUGCCUUCGGAACGCGGUCUGCUGGAAACAUCAGACGCUUUCCAGCCUGCUCCCUGGAGUCCCUUCCACACAGUGCUUUGAGGCGAAGUGACACACAGUUGUGGCUGGGAGAAGGUUUUUUGGCAGCCUGCUCCAGCUGCUUGCCUUUUUGAAGUCCUUGCACCUCUCUCCCUUAGUUCUGUGAAUGAGAACAUGACCACAAAGCAGCCCUCCUGCAUCAGGGGGCUGGGGUACACUGACCCCAGGGUGGGACCGGGUGCGUACACACCCGUAGUGUGGUGCAGGCUCUGAAAGGUUGACCUGAGAACAUUGAGGCAGCCCUUUCUCAGGAUCUAGGUCCCGAUCUCCUAGGCGCAGAUCCCCCGUUCGCCGGCGAUCAAGAUCCAGAUCUCCUGGACGAAGGCGCCAUCGCAGCCGCUCCAGCUCAAACUCUUCACGAUAAAGCAAAAAGACUGGACAGCUUUUUAUUUUUUAACUUAAAUCCCAUUGCUGAAGUGACGAUAGUUUCUGCACGUUGAACUCUCCCGUAAUGCCAGUACCAGUCGAACGCUGCAGAAACAGCGCGGCCUGGGGAGCUUUAGG
Molecule: long non-coding RNA, 612 nt
Filed under: Anser cygnoides (Swan goose)
Lineage: Eukaryota; Metazoa; Chordata; Aves; Anseriformes; Anatidae
Description: lncRNA (ENSACDG00005004455.1)
Source: RNAcentral